Molecule: long non-coding RNA, 1259 nt
Filed under: Calidris pugnax (ruff)
Lineage: Eukaryota; Metazoa; Chordata; Aves; Charadriiformes; Scolopacidae
Description: lncRNA (ENSCPUG00000015626.1)
Source: RNAcentral
GGCUAUAGUUCUUGGAUAUUUCCUUCUCUUGUAAAAGUACAGAGUUCCUGCAUCAUCGCAUGUCAUCGUCUCAGCCAACGUGGGCAGAAUAUGUCACUUCCAGGAAGAUGAGCCACUCACAGGAAUGGGACAUCUAGUUCUCCAUACAAAGCAAAUCCGAUGGCAAUUGUUUCCGAGGUGACCUCACAACUGACCCUUGUCCAUUCUUCAUUCCACGUACUAAUGGGCUUCCUCGCUUGUCAUCUAGCAGGGGCCUGGACUCAGCAAUCUGCAAAGUCCAAAUGCUUCUCUCACCUCUUGACGACAGAACCUUCAAACAAAAGCUGGAUGGACAUCAACUCUCACUGUUUCAGGCAAAAGACUUGGUCUCUGUGGGUGAACAUGCACCCUCUCCAGCGCCUGCAAGACUGCACCCAGUUACCUUCAAGAAUUCAGCACAGCCACAGGGAUGGGAAGUAUUUUCCUGAACACGGGAGGUCUGAGGUCAAAAUGAGAAAAAAAAAUAAAAGAAAUUCUGUAAAUAUCCAAGGAUCCUGCUGCUCUAACACUUUAAAGACUGAGCUACUGUUUCCUGGGGCUUUCCUGUCCGUGCCCCCAAGGGUGUUGUGUGAUGGACACCCUGACAGAUUUCACAAUCAAACACUGAGAAUGUGUGAUUGAGAAUUUCACUGAUCCUCGCACUAACCUUUUUUGCAGGUCGCAGUUUAACUUGCAAUUCCCUUGAUGUAGUAGCUUUAAGAUUUUGCUUUGGGCAGAUUUUCUUUGGCUGCUCUAGGUGGAUUUCUCAAUCCGCUCUGUGUCUUCUGAUGGAAAGUGCUGGAUUGAGCCCGACUGAUGGAAAAUGCUGGAUUGAGACUCGUUCCUUCACAGACAAGAAACAGCAAAGUCUCCCUUCCUUCCAUGCCCUCGCUUCUGCUCUGCAUCCUUCCUUUAGACAAGCCUGGGUGGGGAGUAAUAAGAACAUCAGCCUCUAAAGGCCAAUAUAUUUGCCCAAUCCCUCUCUGAAAUAGGAUGUGAUGGCUCCUCUUUGGAGCUGGAAGAUGAUUCAAUAAUUCUACCCCCAGUCUGAGUGGUAAAACUGCCUUUUUGGGAGUUUAAAGAGCCUUUUCUGAAGGUCUAGUGGAGUCCAGAUGUCUCAUAGCUUUUGUGAUCUUGUGAGCAUUUUUAGAAGGAAAAUCUGUGAGGGAUAGGGCUAUGAAUCAUCCGUCUAUCCUGCGUCCAUGAAGAAGAAAUAAAAACCCCAAUCCAAAAAGAAUCCA